RNAcentral lists this ribosomal RNA (253 nucleotides) under uncultured bacterium. RNAcentral's name for it is "partial 16S ribosomal RNA". It matches the Rfam family "Bacterial small subunit ribosomal RNA", at positions 524 to 776 of the family's 1533-position model. The record is from RNAcentral.
UACAGAGGGGGCAAGCGUUAUUCGGAAUUAUUGGGCGUAAAGGGCGCGUAGGCGGCUUGGCAAGUGGAAGGUGAAAUCCCUCGGCUUAACCGGGGAACUGCGUCCGAUACUGGAUGGCUUGAGUUCGGGAGAGGGAUGCGGAAUUCCAGGUGUAGCGGUGAAAUGCGUAGAUAUCUGGAGGAACACCGGUGGCGAAGGCGGCAUCCUGGACCGACACUGACGCUGAGGAGCGAAAGCUAGGGGAGCAAACAGG